GAUGAACGCUGGCGGCGUGCUUAACACAUGCAAGUCGAACGGAAAGGCUCCUGCUUGCAGGGGUUCUCGAGUGGCGAACGCGGGAGUAACACGUGGGUGAUCUGCCCUGCACUUCGGGAUAAGCCUGGGAAACUGGGUCUAAUACCGGAUAGGACGAUGGUUUGGAUGCCAUUGUGGAAAGUUUUUUCGGUGUGGGAUGAGCUCGCGGCCUAUCAGCUUGUUGGUGGGGUAAUGGCCUACCAAUGCGUCGACGGGUAGCCGGACUGAGAGGGAGUACCGCUACAGUGGGCCUGGGGUACGGCCAGGACGGAUACGGGAGGCAGGAGUGGAAGAUAGAGCAAGAUGUGCGGAGGGCGGAAGGAGGGACGCCGGGUGGUGGAUGACUGCCUUCGGGUAAGAAAAUCCUUUCGCUAGGGCCGAAGCGUAAGUGACGGAACCAAGAGAAGAAGCACCGGCAAAUUACGU
This 465-nucleotide ribosomal RNA is filed under the name uncultured bacterium. Its description in RNAcentral is "partial 16S ribosomal RNA". It matches the Rfam family "Bacterial small subunit ribosomal RNA", at positions 28 to 506 of the family's 1533-position model. The record is from RNAcentral.